Molecule: long non-coding RNA, 277 nt
Organism: Bacillus rossius redtenbacheri
Lineage: Eukaryota; Metazoa; Arthropoda; Insecta; Phasmatodea; Bacillidae
Exons: 2
Source: RefSeq, a predicted model, not a curated record
UCGGGCUGGCGAAGGGCUUGUCGGAGCGGUCGCCCCGGCGGGCCCACAGCUGCAGCAGCCAGUUGCUGUUCUGCUGCACCAGCACGCUGUUCUCCCCCUCAUAGCCGUGGCCACCGCACGCCUCUCGACACUCCUGUAUGCCGUCUCGCGCGAGCCAGGCGCAAAGUGGCUUGGCCCCUGAAGACAGACCAUGGAUCUCUGCACCCAGUGUCAUCUGAAAAUAUCAGUUCCUGCCAAAAUUAGUCUGACAAUAAAUACAGACAAUUUUAUCAUGGUA